RNAcentral lists this ribosomal RNA (387 nucleotides) under uncultured bacterium. Its description in RNAcentral is "bacterial SSU rRNA". It matches the Rfam family "Bacterial small subunit ribosomal RNA", at positions 30 to 416 of the family's 1533-position model. The record is from RNAcentral.
AUUGAACGCUGGCGGCAUGCCUUACACAUGCAAGUCGAACGGCAGCACGGACUUCGGUCUGGUGGCGAGUGGCGAACGGGUGAGUAAUGUAUCGGAACGUACCUUUCAGUGGGGGAUAACGUAGCGAAAGUUACGCUAAUACCGCAUAUUCUGUGAGCAGGAAAGCAGGGGAUCGCAAGACCUUGCGCUGAUUGAGCGGCCGAUAUCAGAUUAGCUAGUUGGUGGGGUAAAGGCCUACCAAGGCGACGAUCUGUAGCGGGUCUGAGAGGAUGAUCCGCCACACUGGAACUGAGACACGGUCCAGACUCCUACGGGAGGCAGCAGUGGGGAAUUUUGGACAAUGGGGGGCAACCCUGAUCCAGCCAUGCCGCGUGAGUGAAGAAGGCC